AUGGCGAAGACGAAGCCGACGGCAGCCGGUGCGGCCGCGGCGGACAAGAAGCAUAAUAACAAGAAGAAAGGCAAGGGCAACAUCAAGGGGAGGAACGGCCCGGCGGCCGUGGCCAUGAAGGCGCGCGGGGCCGGGGCCGCGGCGGCGGAGCGGAGCAACCCCUUCGAGGCCAUCUGGUCGCGCCGCAAGUUCGACGUGCUCGGCAAGAAGCGCAAGGGCGAGGAGAGGCGCACCUCCCGCUCCCGCUCCGACGCUAUCCACAAGAGGGAGAACACCCUGCUCAAGGAGUUCGAGCAGAGCGCCAAGUCGUCGGUCUUCCAUGACCGGCGCAUCGGCGAGAGGGACGAGACUCUGCCCGAGUACGACAAGGCCAUCCUCCGUCAGCAGCGAGAGCACAUGGCGAAGUUGAAACGAGCAAGCAAAUUCAAUCUGUCCGAUGAGGAGGAUGACGAGGAUUCUCACACGCUUUUGGGAAAUGAUGAUUUCAAUGAAGAGGUGCCUAUUGGUGACGACAGUGAUGAAGAAGGUAACACGCUCUCAAAGAAGCGCCUAUCUCUCCAAAGUAGUGAUCUCCCUUCAGAAACUGACCUACCUGGAGAAACACAUGGUCACAAGAGCAAAAAGGAAGUUAUGUCAGAGAUCAUUUUGAAGAGUAAAUUUUACAAGGCCCAAAAAGCCAAGGAAAAGGAAGAGGAUGAACAUCUUGUUGACAAGUUAGAUAGUGAUUUUGCAUUGCUGGCCCAGACGCCAGCACUUCUAUCCCUGACCGAGUCAGCUAGAGUGAACACACAUAAAAACAAUUCAAGUACAAUCCAUAAAGGUUCAUCUGGUCUGACCGGAAAGGAGAUUUUCAAUAAGGAAAAGCCAGAUGCAUACGACAAACUGGUGAAAGAAAUGGUGAUGGAUCAACGUGCUCGCCCGUCAGACAGGACAAAAACCCCAGAAGAACUAGCUCAGGAAGAAAAAGAACGUCUUGAGAAGUUGGAGAAGGAACGUCACAAGCGGAUGCUUGGAACUGCUGAGUCCUCUGAUGAAGAAGAUGAUGAUAGCGAGGAUGGUGAUCAUCAUAUGAGGGCGGAUAACUCAAAACCUAUAUCUGGCGAUGAUCUUGGUGAUUCCUUCUCUUUUGACGAGCCAGCAAAAAGGAAAAAAGGUUGGGUUGAUGCAAUUUAUGAGAAUGAGGGUAGAAAGAUAGGUGAAGGUGUAGCAUCUGGCGAUGAAGGAAGUGAUGACAGCGGUGAAGAUGAGGAUGAGGAUGAAGAAGAAGAUGCUGGCGAUGAAGAGGAUUCUAGUGAUAAUGACUUCCGUAAUAUGCCGGCAAGGGACUGGGAGCAAAGCGACGACGAUGAGGUUGCUGUAGAAGAAGAUGAAAAGGAUGAUGUCAAAGAUAAAGAACAAGUUAUUGGGGAAAAAGUUUUGAAAACAAAUGCACAAAAUUUGAAGAGAGUAUCUAAUGCGAAGCAAAAACCACCUGGCAAGGAUGAAGACCUACCUUUUGUGAUAGAAGCACCAAACAACUUACAAGAUCUAUGCUCCUUGGUCGAUGGUCGCUCAGAAACUGAAAUAGCUGAGAUUAUAAGCCGGAUACGUACUUGCAAUUCAAUAAGGCUCACACCUGAAAACAGAAAGAAAAUGCAAGUUUUCUAUGGUGUUCUCCUGCAGUAUUUUGCAGUUUUAGCUACUCAAAGUCCAGUGAAGUUUAAAGUAAUUGAGACCCUUGUUAAACCCUUAGUUGAGAUGAGUGGAGAGACACCAUAUUUUGCUGCAAUAUGUGCUAGGGAACGACUUACUCGUACACGUGCUCGUCUAUGUGAAGACAUCAAAGUUCCAGGAAAAAGCAGCUUGCCUAGUUUGAAGACAUUACUUCUACUGAGGUUAUGGUCUCUUAUAUUCCCCUGCUCCGACUUCCGGCAUGCUGUCGCAACUCCAAUGCUUCUGCUUAUGUGCGAAUAUCUGAUGCGAUGCCCUAUACAGUCUGGCCGAGAUGCAGCUGUUGGUUCUUUCUUGUGCUCCAUGGUGCUUGCGGCUACUAAAGAAUCGAAAAAGUUCUGCCCUGAAGCUAUCAGUUUUCUGCAAACUCUUUUGGUAACAUCACUUAAAGGAGAAGUGAGCAAUCAGAUCAAUGACCAGUUUAUGGAGCUCAAGACAUUGAAACCAUGGCUUCAUAUCAGUGAGCAAGUGCAUGAGGUGAAUCGUAUGAAUAUCCUCGACCUAAUGAGCAUGGAUCCUGAUUCCCCAUUCUUCGCAUCAGAUAAUUUCAAGGCUGGUGUACUUCUGUCUGUGGCUGAAUGUUUGAGGGGCUUUGUAAUUAUACAUGAAGGGCUCUGCUCUUUUCCAGAAAUUUUCAUGCCAGUUUCUUCUCUGCUGCAACAAAUUAUGGAAAAAUCCGAGUUGCCUGCCCUGUUACAAGAAAUUUUCCAAGAUGUCAUCGACUUGAUUAAGAAGAGAAGUGACGAACACCAUGCUUCAAGAGAGCCACUCCAAAUGCGGAAGCAGAAGCCUGAACCAAUCAAGCAGCUGAAUCCCAAAUUUGAGGAGAAUUACGUAAAGGGUCUUGAUUACGAUCCUGACCGAGAAAGGGCACGCCUGAAGAAGCUGGCGAAACAAGUGAAGAGCGAGAAGAGAGGUGCGAUGUCCGAGCUUCGCAAAGAUAGUUAUUUCAUGGCUGCUGUGAAACAGAAGGAGAGGGCGAGACACGAGCAAGAGAGGUCUGAAAAGUAUGGCAAAGCAAUGGCUUUUCUUCAAGAACAAGAAAGCGCUUUUAAAUGCGGGCAGAUGGGAAAAGGCAAAAAAAGGAGGAGGUGA
RNAcentral lists this ribosomal RNA (2805 nucleotides) under Triticum aestivum (bread wheat). Its description in RNAcentral is "partial small subunit ribosomal RNA". Lineage: Eukaryota; Viridiplantae; Streptophyta; Magnoliopsida; Poales; Poaceae. The record is from RNAcentral.